This is a non-coding RNA of Onychomys torridus (southern grasshopper mouse), 384 nucleotides long. The record is from the annotation of a RefSeq genome assembly. NCBI's taxonomy places the organism in Eukaryota, Metazoa, Chordata, Mammalia, Rodentia, Cricetidae.
AUGCUGGGGGUUCUGUCCCUUCUUCUAGCUUUCUUGCCUGCGGGCAGACAAACAUCCUCCAACUUGGAAGAAAGAAUAAUGUCAAUCACCAGGCCUGUGGGAUCCUCUGUUAUAUUCACUUGUGAUAUUCACGAUACAAACAAUUAUAUCCACUGGUACCAAUUCCAGGAGCGGAGGGCCCCACGGUACCUUCUCUACUAUAACUUCAUCACUUCCCAAACUGUGGUGGAUGGUGGACUCAGUUCAAAGAAGUACCAUGUUUAUGAAGGCACAGACAAGACUUACAAAUUUGUACUUCGGAAUGUGGAAGAAUCCGAUUCUGGUUUGUAUUACUGUGCCAGCUGGGCUGGCACAAUGAUUCAGCCUUGCCCUUCUCUGUACUGA